CAGCAGCCGCGGUAAUACGAAGGGGGCUAGCGUUGUUCGGAAUUACUGGGCGUAAAGCGCACGUAGGCGGAUAUUUAAGUCAGGGGUGAAAUCCCAGAGCUCAACUCUGGAACUGCCUUUGAUACUGGGUAUCUUGAGUAUGGAAGAGGUGAGUGGAAUUCCGAGUGUAGAGGUGAGAUUCGUAGAUAUUCGGAGGAACACCAGUGGCGAAGGCGGCUCACUGGUCCAUUACUGACGCUGAGGUGCGAAAGCGUGGGGAGCAAACAGGAUUAGAGACCCGCGUAGUCCCUGUCUCUUAUAC
RNAcentral lists this ribosomal RNA (301 nucleotides) under uncultured bacterium. Its description in RNAcentral is "partial 16S ribosomal RNA". It matches the Rfam family "Bacterial small subunit ribosomal RNA", at positions 509 to 807 of the family's 1533-position model. The record is from RNAcentral.